GGGUUGUGAGGUUAAGCGACUAAGCGUACACGGUGGAUGCCCUGGCAGUCAGAGGCGAUGAAGGACGUGCUAAUCUGCGAUAAGCGCCGGUAAGGUGAUAUGAACCGUUAUAACCGGCGAUUUCCGAAUGGGGAAACCCAGUGUGAUUCGUCACACUAUCAUUAACUGAAUCCAUAGGUUAAUGAGGCGAACCGGGGGAACUGAAACAUCUAAGUACCCCGAGGAAAAGAAAUCAACCGAGAUUCCCCCAGUAGCGGCGAGCGAACGGGGAGGAGCCCAGAGCCUGAAUCAGCAUGUGUGUUAGUGGAAGCGUCUGGAAAGGCGCGCGAUACAGGGUGACAGCCCCGUACACAAAAGCGCAUGUGCUGUGAGCUCGAUGAGUAGGGCGGGACACGUGGUAUCCUGUCUGAAUAUGGGGGGACCAUCCUCCAAGGCUAAAUACUCCUGACUGACCGAUAGUGAACCAGUACCGUGAGGGAAAGGCGAAAAGAACCCCGGCGAGGGGAGUGAAAAAGAACCUGAAACCGUGUACGUACAAGCAGUGGGAGCACAGGUUUACCUGUGUGACUGCGUACCUUUUGUAUAAUGGGUCAGCG
RNAcentral lists this ribosomal RNA (596 nucleotides) under Salmonella enterica. RNAcentral describes it as "partial 23S ribosomal RNA". It matches the Rfam family "Bacterial large subunit ribosomal RNA", at positions 1 to 625 of the family's 2925-position model. Lineage: Bacteria; Pseudomonadati; Pseudomonadota; Gammaproteobacteria; Enterobacterales; Enterobacteriaceae. The record is from RNAcentral.